RNAcentral lists this ribosomal RNA (253 nucleotides) under uncultured bacterium. RNAcentral's name for it is "partial 16S ribosomal RNA". It matches the Rfam family "Bacterial small subunit ribosomal RNA", at positions 524 to 776 of the family's 1533-position model. The record is from RNAcentral.
UACGUAGGUGACAAGCGUUGUCCGGAUUUACUGGGCGUAAAGAGCGCGCAGGCGGUCGUUCAAGUCGAGUGUGAAAGCCCCCGGCUCAACUGGGGAGGGUCACUCGAUACUGAUCGACUCGAAGGCAGGAGAGGGAAGUGGAAUUCCCGGUGUAGUGGUGAAAUGCGCAGAUAUCAGGAAGAACACCCGUGGCGAAGGCGGCUCUCUGGAACGCAACUGACGCUGAGACGCGAAAGCGUGGGGAGCAAACAGG